This 459-nucleotide ribosomal RNA is filed under the name uncultured bacterium. Its description in RNAcentral is "partial 16S ribosomal RNA". It matches the Rfam family "Bacterial small subunit ribosomal RNA", at positions 338 to 795 of the family's 1533-position model. The record is from RNAcentral.
CCUACGGGUGGCUGCAGUGAGGAAUAUUGGUCAAUGGUCGGGAGACUGAACCAGCCAAGCCGCGUGAGGGAUGAAGGUACAGGGUAUCGUAAACCUCUUUUGUCAGGGAACAUAGGCGGGGACGUGUCCCCGGAUGAGUGUACCUGAAGAAAAAGCAUCGGCUAACUCCGUGCCAGCAGCCGCGGUAAUACGGAGGAUGCGAGCGUUAUCCGGAUUUAUGGGGGUAAAGGGGAGCGCAGGGGGUUUAUUAAGUCAGCGGUCAAAGCCCGGGGCUCAACCCCGACCCGCCGUUGAAACUGGCAGUCUCGAGUUGGGGAGAAGUAUGCGGAAUGCGCGGUGUAGCGGUGAAAUGCAUAGAUAUCGCGCAGAACUCCGGUUGCGAAGGCAGCAUGCCGGCUCCACACUGACGCUGAGGCACGAAAGCGUGGGUAUCGAACAGGAUUAGAUACCCUUGUAGUC